Molecule: non-coding RNA, 801 nt
Filed under: Helicoverpa punctigera
Lineage: Eukaryota; Metazoa; Arthropoda; Insecta; Lepidoptera; Noctuidae
Source: RNAcentral
AAAUAAAAUUCUUUAUGGUUUGAUAAUUUAUUAUAAAUUUAUUUUACAUAUAAAUUUUAGUGUUAAAUAUUAAUUAUUUAAAUAAUAAUUAUUUAUUUUUAUAGUAAUUAAUAUUAAAUUAUUUAAGAAAUUAAGAUUUAGUAAUAUUUAAAUUAAUAACAAAUUUUGUGCCAGCAGUUGCGGUUAAACAAAAAUUAAAUUGAAUUUUAUUAGUGAUUAAUAAAUAAUUUAUUUAUAAAAAAAAUUUUAAAUUAUUAAGUGAAAUUUUAAUUUAAUUAAAAUUUAUGAUUAAUUUUUAUGAUUUAAUAAAUUUUUUAAAAAACUAGGAUUAGAUACCCUAUUAUUAAAAUUUAAAUUUAUAAUACUAAAAUAGUAGAUAAUUAUUUAUUGAAACUUAAAUAAUUUGGCGGUAUUUUAGUUCAUUUAGAGGAAUCUGUUUAAUAAUUGAUAAUCCACGAAUAAAUUUACUUAAUUUAAUAUUUUGUAUAUCGUUGUUAAAAAAAUAUUUUUAAAAAAAAUUAAUAUUUAAAAAUUAUGAUUUUAAUUUAAAUCAGAUCAAGAUGCAGAUUAUAAUUAAGAAUAUAAUGGAUUACAAUAAAUUUAUUUAUAUGAAUAUUAAUUUGUAAAAGUUAAUUGAAGGUGGAUUUAAAUGUAAUUUUAUUUAAUUUAUUAAAAUGAUUAAAAAUUAAAAUAUGUACAUAUUGCCCGUCACUUUCAUAUAAUAUAAUUAUAAAUAUAAUUAUAAUAAAUUGAAAUAAGUCGUAACAAAGUAGAGGUACUGGAAAGUGUUUCUAGAAAGAA